UUGGUCUGCAUCUUCUUCAUCCUUUCUAGUUGUGCUUCUUGGCAAAGCGCAUGUUCCUCAGGAACUUGGGGUCAACCCCCUUAAGAGAUUUGUAUCUUUGUGACGGGGGUUUCUUGAUGCCGUUUCUGUGCCAUUUGCGGGACUGGUUGUGUGUGGUGAGGUUCUUGGACUUAGCCAUGUCUGUACCAUGACCCGCAGCACCUGGGACCAGAAGAGAAGACACAACUUGCCAUUUUUGAUUGGGAUUUUUUUCCCAGGUAAUUAUGACUUUGAUAAUGCUUUAAUAAAUUUUGGAUUCUGGGCCUUCUUUCAGAUGGAAGUUGCCACUCUCAGUGGGUCUUCGGGAGAUAAUUGUAUUGCUGCAAGUAUUUUAUUUCCCGGUGUUUAUAUCUUGGGGAGGCUUCUCACAGCUUCCAUUUACCAAAACUGAGAGGGCCCAGUUCUCUUUUUCUUUUUUUCUUUUUUAGUUUUUCAAGAUAGGGUUUCUCUGUGUAGCCCUGGGUGUCCUGGAACUCACUCUGUAGACCAGGCUGGCCUCCCAAGUGCUAGGAUCAAAGGUGUGUGCCACCACUGCCCAGCAGGAGGGCCCAGUUCUUAGCUGUUUGAACGUCUUUUCCUUAUGCUUGUUUGCCAUUGUGAGCACUGCAUUAUUUCUUCCAUCCAGUAGAAUCUUGAGGUUGCUGGAGUCGUUAUGUUUUUCUUCUUAUGACUGAUAGUUUUUAUUUUGUGAUUGACAUUGAAAUGAACUUAUACUGCAGACAUUGUCUGUUCUUGAUGGAUUCUGGAAUUCUUACCUUGCUCAAUGAAGAACAAGGUUACAAAACUUAUAAGUGUUUUAAAAUAUUUUAAAUUUAAAUCUCUUGAAAUUAUGCAAGUAGAAGAGUUUUGCCACUUUAAAUUAUUUUCUAAGAGCCCCUUUUAAUGAUAAGAAAAUUAUUUAUCCAGAACUUGAGAAAAUUUUGACACUUUAUUUUUUCAUGUUUUAAAAUUAUAAUUAAAUCCUUUCCUCCUCCAAGUCCCUGAACAUCAUGUAAAAAGGGAAGUUCUUAUGAAAAAGCAUCAGAAGACGAAAACAAACAAAUUGUCCCUUUUCUGGUAGAUAACAUUUUUUUAAAGGGCUAAUUUUUUAUUCAAAGAUUUAUUUAUUAUUAUAUCUAAGUACACUGUAGCAGUCUUCAGACUCACCAGAAGAGGGCAUCAGAUUUCAUCAUGGAUGGUUGUGAGCCACCAUGUGGUCGCUGAGAUUUGAACUCAGGACCUUCGGGAAAGCAGUCAGUGCUCUUAACCAAUGAGUCAUCUCUCCAACACCAGUAGAUAACAAUUUAGAGCUUCACUGACUAAAUUAAGUGUGUGGGAUUCCACUUAAUCUUCAGAGUUUGAUAGGAAUCUGUUGUGUGAAUGCAGAACAGUUUUAUUUAAAAUAAAGAACGUAUUGUUUACAUAUUAUGAGGAAAUACAGAGUGUCUGAUAAUGCCCUUCACUGCUUGUAUGGAUCUAUACUGUAAAGACAACUGCUGUGUUCAUGAAGAACACCCACUUUUAAUGUCUUUAUAUUAGAAGCACUUAUAUAUUUUAUGGAUCAUGGACUUUACCUCUUUAUUUUGAAGAAGGUAAGUUUUAGCUUUCAUAUUUAGAUGCACCAAAAAGAGUUAAAACAUUGCAGAUAAGAUGGUAGCAUGAAAUGAUUUUUGCAGAUUUUAGUUUUUGAAAUACAAAUAUUGUAUGGUUUUGAGAUGUCUUUCUAUUUUGAAUGGAGUGUUUAAAUGCUUGGACUUUCCAGUUCCUAAAAGGUCAUUUUGGCUGGAUAUGAAGUGCCAAAUCGAAGACCACCAUAUGGACGUGUGUUAAGGCCUUGAAACCCAGCUCCUCAAUGCUCUGCAGAGUUCAGACACCCAGUUUUUAUUCACCGGCCAUGAUGAUUGAGAUGACCACAGACCUUUUCAUUUAUCCACUCAGGAUUUUAUCUUCUCAAGUUCCCAAACUGUGUAUAUGUGUAUAACUAAAAACAAGUCAAAACAAAGCAAAAACUACACACAGACACACAGACACACACUUUAAAAUAUUAGGUAUUAUCUCUCCCAAAGAAAUCUGCAAGUAAGUAGUUUAUGUUCUUGAGAGAGAGGAUAGAGGAUCUUCUCGCUUGGUUAUCUCUCCCAUAGAUUUAUUGAAAGUUAGGGAUCAAAGAAUAUUAUGCCAAUUGAAAUCUAUUUGGAUAAUUGACCUAUUUUUAUGGUUCUUACUACAGAAUGGUCACUGGAAUGCUUGAAGUAGACAAGCCAUUUUAACCCACAACUUAGUAACUAGCCAGGAAAUCUCCUCUUAUUUGCAUAAAGAUAAUUUGCCACUGGAUAUUGCCAGAGAUUCAUUUGGCAUCUUUGUAGACCUUGAAAGGACUGAUAGAAAUGAUAAUUUUUUGAGGGCAAUUCUUCCAACUCAAGAAUAUAUUAGUGACCUUUCUUUAAAUCUCUGGUCAUCUAGAAAAGAUAAAAGACAAAAACAUGAUAUUUUUAGUAAACCAUUAAGGUAUUUGAGUUAACAGUUGGAAAAAACCACAAUAAUGUUAGCUGAUAACUCCAUCAUUUUGAUGCUAAUUUCAUGGCCGUUGAUUAAUAUUUAUUGGAUGAGUUCAUUUUGAGUAAUGAGGGAAUUAUUAGGAAAUUCUCAAUUUUGUAUUCAGUCUUUGAAAAAGGUGUGAAAGUAUAUAAUUAGUAUUUCCAUAAAAUUUAUAUUUUAGUGCAUAAUAAUAGGGUGAGUAGUUUGAGCUGUAAUUUAAAGGGAGCUUGCUAGCUACUUCAUAUGUGUUUUCAGUAAGCCAGCAACUUUGAAGGUGGUACUGUGUCCCCUCAUUGUAAGAUGAAGUGACAAACUUCUAGAUGCCUGAUGACAUUUGUUGAAACUUAGCUCAGAGGAUCAGACUUGGUUUGAACUGGGAUCUGUCUGUAACUAUGGAGAGAACAGUUUUCACGUCACUUUUUUUGCCUUCUAAAUUAAUGCUUAUGUUGUCUGGAAAAUUCACUUCUGAUGAACACUUUGCUUUCCCAAUGAUGCUGGUUAAACGAGGUGUUAGUAUAAUAAGGUGCUAAUUGAAUGGUGCACAGAGUAAGUGAAAAAGAAAUUAAAGAAGGAAAAGUCUGUGUGCUGAAGUCAUCAGGGAAACUGCUUGCAGUCGCUGUGGGACUUGGUUCAUUCAUUCAUGCCAUGGAAGGUUCUGAAUACUGACCUGGUAGGAAAUGUAGGGUGC
Molecule: long non-coding RNA, 3241 nt
Filed under: Mus musculus (house mouse)
Lineage: Eukaryota; Metazoa; Chordata; Mammalia; Rodentia; Muridae
Description: long non-coding RNA chr13:91480180-91483421
Source: RNAcentral